GAUGAACGCUGGCGGCGUGCCUAAUACAUGCCAGUCGAGCGAACGGACGAGAAGCUUGCUUUUCUGAUGUUAGCGGCGGACGGGUGAGUAACACGUGGAUAACCUACCUAUAAGACUGGGAUAACUUCGGGAAACAGGAGCUAAUACCGGAUAAUAUUUUGAACCGCAUGGUUCAAAAGUGAAAGACGGUCUUGCUGUCACUUAUAGAUGGAUCCGCGCUGCAUUAGCUAGUUGGUAAGGUAACGGCUUACCAAGGCAACGAUGCAUAGCCGACCUGAGAGGGUGAUCGGCCACACUGGAACUGAGACACGGUCCAGACUCCUACGGGAGGCAGCAGUAGGGAAUCUUCCGCAAUGGGCGAAAGCCUGACGGAGCAACGCCGCGUGAGUGAUGAAGGUCUUCGGAUCGUAAAACUCUGUUAUUAGGGAAGAACAUAUGUGUAAGUAACUGUGCACAUCUUGACGGUACCUAAUCAGAAAGCCACGGCUAACUACGUG
This 497-nucleotide ribosomal RNA is filed under the name uncultured bacterium. RNAcentral describes it as "partial 16S ribosomal RNA". It matches the Rfam family "Bacterial small subunit ribosomal RNA", at positions 28 to 507 of the family's 1533-position model. The record is from RNAcentral.